Molecule: long non-coding RNA, 841 nt
Filed under: Homo sapiens (human)
Lineage: Eukaryota; Metazoa; Chordata; Mammalia; Primates; Hominidae
Description: non-protein coding lnc-CPN2-4:16
Source: RNAcentral
GAGAGGUUUAACAACUUCCUCAGAAUCACACAGCUUCCAAAUGGUUGGGUUGGGUUUACAUUUAGGCGGUCUUGCUCCAGAGCCAGUGCUCCUAACCUUUGCAAGCCACGAACCUCAAGAAAGUGGAGAAGGAAACGCUGGGAAAUCUGGAAGUCAGACAUGCCUAGUUUAUCUCCCGGGAGCUGACUUCAUUUCUAAACGUAUAGGGGUUUCUUAGAGGAGCUUCAGAAUACUAAUCAUCGCUAGUGAGGGCACUUGGACACUUUGCUUCACCUCAGCCAGCACCUCUUUUCCCAGCUGUAAAAUGAGAGCUAAUGCUGGCAGCUGUUGGGAUGUCCUCUUCCAGGAAUGGUGAUGAGUUUCCCUGGAUCCAGCCCUGGCUUGGCUGAGGUUUUUCUCACUGUAAGAAGAGGACAAUAGCCUAUGAUCUACAGUGCCCAUUCCAACUCAGAGAAUCUUUACAUCUGGAGAUCUAUAGCAGGGCUAUCCCUAGUGACAUGCGUGAAGAAGCUUGGAAAUGGUGCUGGGUAGGAGCUGAGUGUGCAGAAUGUGGAAAGGCAUUCUAAACCAAAGGAAGAACACGAGUAAAGAUGAUGAAGCAGGGAUAAGGCUAAAAUGAAAUUUGUGAUCUGAUCCACAUACAAGCACAGUGUAGUACAGCUGGAAUAUAGAGAAGAGCUUGAAGACUUAUGAGCAACUAUCCCGGUACUCUUGGAGGCUCUGCAACCACAGUUUGAGAAACUCCGCGUUCAAAGUUAAAAACUGUCACCUGAAUAGUUAAUAACAUCAAAGAUUGUGAAAGCAAGUAUAAAUAACACAGAGAUUAAAAUAAUGAGGCAGG